GACGAACGCUGGCGGCGUGCUUAACACAUGCAAGUCGAACGGAAAGGCCCUGCUUUUGUGGGGUGCUCGAGUGGCGAACGGGUGAGUAACACGUGAGUAACCUGCCCUUGACUUUGGUAUAACUUCAGGAAACUGGGGCUAAUACCGGAUAGGAGCUCCUGCUGCAUGGUGGGGGUUGGAACGUUUCGGCGGUUGGGGAUGGACUCGCGGCUUAUCAGCUUGUUGGUGGGGUAGUGGCUUACCAAGGCUUUGACGGGUAGCCGGCCUGAGAGGGUGACCGGCCACAUUGGGACUGAGAUACGGCCCAGACUCCUACGGGAGGCAGCAGUGGGGAAUAUUGCACAAUGGGCGGAAGCCUGAUGCAGCAACGCCGCGUGCGGGAUGACGGCCUUCGGGUUGUAAACCGCUUUCGCCUGUGACGAAGCGUGAGUGACGGUAAUGGGUAAAGAAGCACCGGCUAACUACGUG
Molecule: ribosomal RNA, 468 nt
Filed under: uncultured bacterium
Lineage: Bacteria
Description: partial 16S ribosomal RNA
Rfam family: Bacterial small subunit ribosomal RNA
Source: RNAcentral